RNAcentral lists this ribosomal RNA (433 nucleotides) under uncultured bacterium. RNAcentral describes it as "partial 16S ribosomal RNA". It matches the Rfam family "Bacterial small subunit ribosomal RNA", at positions 29 to 507 of the family's 1533-position model. The record is from RNAcentral.
AACGAACGCUGGCGGCAUGCCUAACACAUGCAAGUCGAACGAGACCUUCGGGUCUAGUGGCGCACGGGUGCGUAACGCGUGGGAACCUGCCCUUAGGUUCGGAAUAACUCCCCGAAAGGGGUGCUAAUACCGGAUAAUGUCUUCGGACCAAAGAUUUAUCGCCUUUGGGUGGGCCCGCGUUGGAUUAGCUAGUUGGUAGGGUAAAAGCCUACCAAGGCGACGAUCCAUAGCUGGUCUGAGAGGAUGAUCAGCCACACUGGGACUGAGACACGGCCCAGACUCCUACGGGAGGCAGCAGUGGGGAAUAUUGGACAAUGGGCGAAAGCCCGAUCCAGCAAUGCCGCGUGAGUGAUGAAGGCCUUAGGGUUGUAAAGCUCUUUUACCCGGGAUGAUAAUGACAGUACCGGGAGAAUAAGCUCCGGCUAACUCCGUG